Molecule: long non-coding RNA, 2071 nt
Organism: Rhododendron vialii
Lineage: Eukaryota; Viridiplantae; Streptophyta; Magnoliopsida; Ericales; Ericaceae
Exons: 3
Source: RefSeq, a predicted model, not a curated record
ACAUCAAGGGAAGGCUGAACAGCUACUACAGAGGAACAAGGCACCACGAAAAGGCUCGAACCAGAAAUGUCAGCAUCUGAUAGGGGGCCCCACCCUGCACACCACGCCCAUUCCAUCUGGCCUAAUACUCCCUCAUCCAAGUCCUAAGGCUCGCCAGAAAACAACCUGCCUCCUCAGCCAACACCCAUCACCACUAGACUCCCAAAGAAGGGAUAAGUAGACCAAGACUCUAAUACUCCAACUAAACCCAACAAUUCCCAACACAGCACUCAUUUCUAAAGAACCGACUACUACAGCGGACCUCGACCUCGAGGAAGCGAUAACGACAUAGAUGCAUCCAAUAUUCGGGCACUCCCAAACCCCGCACGAAUGCCUAAUCCACACAAACCACACAACAUCAAUCGAUUACCAAAGGCUCGCCGAAAUCUAGAAGCGAGGCAAAAGGAGCCUACAUUCUGCCACCGAAUCAACGGGAUCAAAUGAGGCAACACAAACUGCAAGGAACUAUAAACUGCUCCGCUCAACAAGUAAAUUACCACCCAUCUAAUAAGAACAGUCACAGUUACACUCAUACCACGCAUAGAACAAUCAGGCCCAGUAUAGUAAAGAAAUCAAGGAUUUAAGAUUACAGCCCACGUCCAAUCCGGGCCCACCACGCGCACCUCAACCACCAGCAUGCACCACUUGCGCGAGGGCUGGUCUUUGAAAAAUCAGGAAGCUGGCUCACAGUUUUGUAAAACCACAAUUCACAAGACUUUUGCCAGACAACAUUAGUUACAAUGACAUCACCCAUCGGAGUUUACGCCGAAAAAUUUACUACCCAAGAGCUUAUUUGGAGCACUAAACCUCGAAUCAAUUAGCCUAAACUAAAACAUGGAUUAAUGAAAAGAAGAGAUAAACCCAAUCUCAGCCCAAACAGAUGGCUGCCCAUUCGAGCUCUCAAUAAGGCGCUACAUGACAAGGAAUGAUACAUGCCGAUAGGAUGGUCCAGCAAGUUAUAGACCCUCCACCACUGAUUCCUAUGGCGAGUUAUAGACCCUCCAACUUGGAUUGAGCACAUGAGCAAACCUAGAUUCGUGACCGCCCACCACUCAAUUGGGCAGCUCAGAUCUAUGGCCACCUACCGCACUGCCGCGUGAACCAACCCCCGCUACGACCCACUACCAUCUUCGCCGAUGGCCGUCGGAUGGUCGGAGCCACAAGGAGACGAGGUGGAGGGCCGAACGGCAGGAGAAACAGAGGGGAAGUAAACCAAGUACAGAGGCUUGGCUGAUUUAAUCUCAUACGAGUGUAGAUAUAUUCCGAAAGGAAUAGACUAUAAGAAAUCAGGAAGAAUUCGGAUCUCCCUAUGAAUUUGUGAACCACCAGACAUAAUCAGUGGGUUUUGGUUCAAAAAUAUGAUUUUGGUAAAGGGGAAUGCAUUCUCUCUCUAGUCCUAAAAGAGAAGAUCUCAACGUACCGCAUAACCUUUACCUUUAUCUCCCCAAAAAAAAGAAAACCCCAUAGUAUUCCAUUCAUUGAAGAGGAUGAUAGUAUAAUUAGUAAUUUAGAUAUGGUUCGGUUGGUGCUGAGCCGCAGUUGGACCAUGGUACUUGUCAUGUCGCCUGCUUGGUUAGCGGGAUUUGUGAAACCGUUGAAUAUGAAGCAUGAAGGCUUUGGUUCAUGGUGACACAUGGCCUACUGAGCAGCAUGGACAUGCCGAAUAAACGAGUAGUUUAUUCAACUCUCUAGGCAAAAAGUAACCCACGGUUCAUCUACUACAGAAGGGAGCAGGGGUGGAUCAUCUGCUGUUCCUUCAUUGUGUGACGAGGAUUCUUCUUUGCCAUCUGUGCGUUCGCCUUUUUGGUUUGGUGUGUUCGGGGGCAUCAGUAGUGGAGUUUCUGAUUCAAUCGAUUGGGUUUUUGCAAUGGGAUCGAAGAUGCAUGGAGAUUAUGUUGAUUCAACCAAGUCUCUCUUUUCCUUUAAGGCCUAGGAAAUAGAACUCCUCAAAAUACUUAUUCAGAAGUUAAUCCAACAGAGUUGUACUCGACUUUUUUUUUCAUCUGUAUAAUCAUCUCUCUUUUCAAAUCAA